UCCCGUUUGGCUCAAUUGGUAGAGCAUGGUGUUUGCAUUGCCAGGGUUGUGGGUUUGAUUCCCACGGGGGAC
This 72-nucleotide transfer RNA is filed under the name Salmo salar (Atlantic salmon). It matches the Rfam family "tRNA". From Rfam's summary of the family: Transfer RNA (tRNA) molecules are approximately 80 nucleotides in length. Their secondary structure includes four short double-helical elements and three loops (D, anti-codon, and T loops). Further hydrogen bonds mediate the characteristic L-shaped molecular structure. tRNAs have two regions of fundamental functional importance: the anti-codon, which is responsible for specific mRNA codon recognition, and the 3' end, to which the tRNAs corresponding amino acid is attached (by aminoacyl-tRNA synthetases). tRNAs cope with the degeneracy of the genetic code in two manners: having more than one tRNA (with a specific anti-codon) for a particular amino acid; and 'wobble' base-pairing, i.e. permitting non-standard base-pairing at the 3rd anti-codon position. The record is from Rfam by way of RNAcentral. Lineage: Eukaryota; Metazoa; Chordata; Actinopteri; Salmoniformes; Salmonidae.